UGGGACCUAAAGCUAAUGGCGGCUGGAAAUAAAGUUAUUGAAAAAGUAAAACAGAGUUGCANAUUUGAGAAAAUAAAUUGUGUUUAUCCAUUCAUCCAAAAUCCAGUAACAGCCUCCACAUGGUUCAAGCAAAGAGAUUCCCCAGAAGAACGCUGCAACCAAUAGCUCCUCCCCCCAAGCCGAAGCCAAAACCGUUCCAGCCCAAUAUAUUCAGAAUUAUGGAGUGUGACGACGNUAGCUGCCUCCUAGGCCAAGUGUCCAAAAAUAAUGGGGUGGGGUCCACUCCAAAACCCUAGGUGCCAUGUGUUCAUUUUUACAAUUGGGCUUAAACUAUUCUACCAAAAUUAGCCCANAAUGCAAAGAGUUUGUNUAAAAACUUUAAACAAUUAAAUUUACAAUGUAACUAAAAUUUAAAAUAUCUAAAUUUGAGAGUCUUGAAUUUAUUCGGUGUCCUCCAAAUGUCCCAAAUUGAAUUUCCAAAAUUUUCCCUGAAAAUAAUAAUGCAAAUAAUUAGC
RNAcentral lists this long non-coding RNA (515 nucleotides) under Vigna radiata. Its description in RNAcentral is "long non-coding RNA (VRAD_LNC005012)". The record is from RNAcentral. Lineage: Eukaryota; Viridiplantae; Streptophyta; Magnoliopsida; Fabales; Fabaceae.